CCGAACUUAGCUCAGUUGGUAGAGCGUUAGACUGUAGAUCUAAGGGUCGCUGGUUCAAUUCCGGCAGUUCGGA
This is a transfer RNA of Blastocystis sp., 73 nucleotides long. It matches the Rfam family "tRNA". Rfam says of the family: Transfer RNA (tRNA) molecules are approximately 80 nucleotides in length. Their secondary structure includes four short double-helical elements and three loops (D, anti-codon, and T loops). Lineage: Eukaryota; Bigyra; Opalinata; Blastocystidae. The record is from Rfam.